UGGGGAAUAUUGGACAAUGGGCGAAAGCCUGAUCCAGCCAUGCCGCGUGUGUGAAGAAGGUCUUCGGAUUGUAAAGCACUUUAAGUUGGGAGGAAGGGCAUUAACCUAAUACGUUAGUGUUUUGACGUUACCGACAGAAUAAGCACCGGCUAACUCUGUGCCAGCAGCCGCGGUAAUACAGAGGGUGCAAGCGUUAAUCGGAAUUACUGGGCGUAAAGCGCGCGUAGGUGGUUUGUUAAGUUGGAUGUGAAAUCCCCGGGCUCAACCUGGGAACUGCAUUCAAAACUGACUGACUAGAGUAUGGUAGAGGGUGGUGGAAUUUCCUGUGUAGCGGUGAAAUGCGUAGAUAUAGGAAGGAACACCAGUGGCGAAGGCGACCACCUGGGCUAAUACUGACACUGAGGUGCGAAAGCGUGGGGAGCAAACA
Molecule: ribosomal RNA, 427 nt
Filed under: uncultured bacterium
Lineage: Bacteria
Description: partial 16S ribosomal RNA
Rfam family: Bacterial small subunit ribosomal RNA
Source: RNAcentral